Molecule: ribosomal RNA, 223 nt
Filed under: Vibrio parahaemolyticus
Lineage: Bacteria; Pseudomonadati; Pseudomonadota; Gammaproteobacteria; Vibrionales; Vibrionaceae
Description: partial 23S ribosomal RNA
Rfam family: Bacterial large subunit ribosomal RNA
Source: RNAcentral
UCCCGUACUUCUUACAAUUGCGAUGGGGGGACGGAGAAGGCUAGGUGGGCCUGGCGACGGUUGUCCAGGUUCAAGUGCGUAGGCUUAAGAGUUAGGUAAAUCCGGCUCUUUUUAAGGCUGAGACACGACGUCGAGCACCUACGGGUGUGAAGUCAUUGAUGCCAUGCUUCCAGGAAAAGCCUCUAAGCUUCAGAUUGUAAGGAAUCGUACCCCAAACCGACAC